Molecule: transfer RNA, 74 nt
Filed under: Rudaeicoccus suwonensis
Lineage: Bacteria; Bacillati; Actinomycetota; Actinomycetes; Micrococcales; Dermacoccaceae
Also listed under: 5 other names
Description: Dermacoccus sp. HOR6-4 tRNA
Rfam family: tRNA
About the family: Transfer RNA (tRNA) molecules are approximately 80 nucleotides in length.
Source: Rfam by way of RNAcentral
GGGGCGGUAGCUCAGCCGGUUAGAGCAGCGGACUCAUAAUCCGUCGGUCCUGGGUUCAAGCCCCAGCCGCCCUA